Molecule: long non-coding RNA, 1375 nt
Organism: Pan troglodytes (chimpanzee)
Lineage: Eukaryota; Metazoa; Chordata; Mammalia; Primates; Hominidae
Exons: 3
Source: RefSeq, a predicted model, not a curated record
CGCACCAGCCCGGGCCGGGCCUGGCCAGCUGCGGAACCUCAGGAGGGACGCGCGACUGAAUUUAUUCGGAAUCCUACUUGAGCUGGAGUGCAGUGGCACCAUCUCAGCUCACUGCAUCUUUGACCUUCCGGACUCAAGCCAUCCUCCCACUUCAGCCUCCUGAGUAGCUGAGCCUUACAGGGGAUGACACCGCCAUCUGGCCAUAGCCUGUAUAUCAUCCUGAUCUCUCCCCCGCCUUCCGCAUGUCUCACAUCCAGCUGCUACUAAAUCAUGUCAGCUCUGCCCCAUGCAUACUGCCUGUCCUCCUCCUUCCCCACGGCCACCAUACUGGCACUUGUGCCUUCUGAGACCUGCCUUCCAGAGGAGUGCACAUGCCAGGAGUGUUCAGUGGGCACAAGUGGUUUUAUUGUUUCUGCCCGGAAGAGGAAGCCCUGGCAGCAGCAGGGACACAGAGAGGACACGGCGCUGCAUCCUGCCGGCAGUGUGGAUGCUGGUGGCGGGAGUCCAGGACUGUGAAGAGCUGUCAGCAUAUGAGCUGGAGCCGCUGAGGAGCUGCACCUAGGCCUGCAGAGGCCACCAGCUUGAGAAGGGGGUCCCAGCCUCACCGAUGCCGCUUUCGGAUGCUCUGCAGCUCCUGGUAGAUGGUGCUGAAGCUGGGCCGCUGCCCAGGCUCAUAGGCCCAGCACUGCUCCAUGAGCCUGAACACGGCAUCAGGACACAGCUCUGGGCAGGGCAGACGGCCCCCUGUGAGGAGAGGCACAGCACACCAGGCAUGAGGAGGGAGUUUGAGGGUCCUCGGCAGACUCUGGGGGAUACCAUGAGCCAUAGGAGCUGCUUAAGAUGCACUGUUCUGAAGGAUGCACUGUUCUCCACCAAGGGCCCAAAGGACAAAGAGGCCUGGCUUCUGAUCCUAAUCCUACCACGUGCUAGCUGUGUCCCCUCUGCCAGCCUUUUUUUCCAUCUGAGAAAGGGACAUAUUAAUCCCUACCACACAUGUAGUGAUGAGCAAAUGAAAUAACAUGUGACCUAGCACAGACCAGGUGCUCACUCAGUAGUAGCUACAGGGAUAUUCUAUUUUUUUUUUUCUUUUUUUGAGAUGGAGUCUUGCUCUGUCACUCACGCUGGAAUGCAGUGGUGUGAUCUCAGCUCACUGCAACCUCCACCUCCCAGGUUCAAGCGAUUCUUGUGCCUCAGCCUCCCAAGUAGCUGGGAUUACAGGCUUGCACCACUACACCUGGCUAAUUUUUUGUAUUUUUAGUAGAGACAGGUUUUGCCAUGUUGGCCAGGCUAGUGUCAAACUCCUAGACUCAAGUGAUCCACCUUCCUCAGCCUCCCAAAAUGUUGAAAUUACAGGCGUGAGCCACUGCGCCCAGGU